UACGUAGGGGGCAAGCGUUGUCCGGAUUUAUUGGGCGUAAAGAGCGUGUAGGCGGCCUGGUAGGUCAGCUGUGAAAACUCGAGGCUCAACCUCGAGACGCCGGUUGAAACCAUCAGGCUAGAGUCCGGAAGAGGAGAGUGGAAUUCCCGGUGUAGCGGUGAAAUGCGCAGAUAUCAGGAGGAACACCGGUGGCGAAGGCGGAUCUCUGGGCCUUACCUGACGCUGAGGCGCGAAAGCUAGGGGAGCGAACAGG
Molecule: ribosomal RNA, 253 nt
Filed under: uncultured bacterium
Lineage: Bacteria
Description: partial 16S ribosomal RNA
Rfam family: Bacterial small subunit ribosomal RNA
Source: RNAcentral